Long non-coding RNA from Camelus dromedarius (Arabian camel), 888 nucleotides. RefSeq lists it as uncharacterized. Lineage: Eukaryota; Metazoa; Chordata; Mammalia; Artiodactyla; Camelidae. The transcript has 3 exons. The record is from RefSeq and is a predicted model, not a curated record.
GGCCAGCGCGCGUCCUCGAGCGGACGCCCCGGAGGGUCGGGCGACAGGACUGGCGAGUGGCCAGUGGCCGAGGACGGGGCGGGGCCGGAGCGCGGCGCGGGGCGGAACGCUUGGCGGCGCGUUCUCUGGCCGAGAACCUGAGGAGGCGAAGCGCGUUCGUCGCCUGGCGCUAAGGGCUUGUUGAGAAGGUCACCAUUAACAGGCACAUGGACCUUGAACUCUCCGGAGCACCGAAAACACCUGCAAGCUCUGUCCACUGAAGAGGCCCAGAAGCAAUGUCACCCAGAGGAAAUGAACACUCUAGUGCCAAGAUCUUGGUUUCAAAGUAUUGUUCACCACUGAGAGGAAAGACCAUUCCCUGGAGAAAUGGCUGAUUUCAGAUCAGAGACAGAGCAUGUGUAAGGUAAGCCUGGAACAUCUUAUAUCAGAAAGCAAAGAAAGUGUGCAGAGGAUGGUAAGUACAGGCCAAAGGGAAAAGUAGCAAGUGUGAAGGGCCAAAUAUGGGACAAUUGGGGAAUUUAGAAAAUUGAAAACAAAUAAAUCGAAUUUUUGAAAGUCUAUGAUUCCAUAGAGACACUAAAGAAGAGGGCUUUUUCUUCAUGAAAGAAUGUGAGCUAAUAAAUGGAGAGGAAUAAUACAAUUAGGAAAUCAUUAUUUUGCAGUCUUCAGUGUGGCUCAGACAAGGAUCACCAAUGUGUGCUGAAACUACUGAGUGAAAGUGUGCUGGGGAAUGUAAUAUUCACAUAGUACCAAAAUGUUAUCCAGAGAUUACCUAUUGAUUAUUAAGAAAAAGCAUACCUUUAAAAUGAAAAAAAAAAAAAGUUGGCAGACGUCAUCUUAACCAGGUAACCAAAGUUAGCACAAAACUAGCAGACUGCGUCUCCUGAA